UGGGGAAUCUUGCACAAUGGGGGAAACCCUGAUGCAGCGACGCCGCGUGAGCGAUGAAGCCCUUCGGGGUGUAAAGCUCUUUCGGCAGGGACGAUUAUGACGGUACCUGCAGAAGAAGCUGCGGCUAACUACGUGCCAGCAGCCGCGGUAAUACGUAGGCAGCAAGCGUUGUUCGGAAUUACUGGGCGUAAAGAGUGCGUAGGCGGCUGGCUAAGUUUGGUGUGAAAUCUCCCGGCUCAACUGGGAGGGUGCGCCGAAAACUGGCCGGCUAGAGUGUGGGAGAGGAAAGUGGAAUUCCUGGUGUAGCGGUGAAAUGCGUAGAUAUCAGGAGGAACACCGGUGGUGUAGACGGCUUUCUGGACCACUACUGACGCUGAGGCACGAAAGCGUGGGGAGCAAACAGG
RNAcentral lists this ribosomal RNA (404 nucleotides) under uncultured Candidatus Solibacter sp. Its description in RNAcentral is "bacterial SSU rRNA". It matches the Rfam family "Bacterial small subunit ribosomal RNA", at positions 355 to 776 of the family's 1533-position model. Lineage: Bacteria; Pseudomonadati; Acidobacteriota; Terriglobia; Bryobacterales; Solibacteraceae. The record is from RNAcentral.